AUUGCCCCAGUAACGGCGAGUGAAGCGGCAACAGCUCAAAUUUGAAAUCUGGCCCCAGGCCCGAGUUGUAAUUUGCAGAGGAUGCUUUGGGCGCGGUGCCUUCCGGGUUCCCUGGAACGGGACGCCACAGAGGGUGAGAGCCCCGUCUGGUCGGACACCAAGCCUAUGUAAAGCUCCUUCGACGAGUCGAGUAGUUUGGGAAUGCUGCUCAAAAUGGGAGGUAUAUGUCUUCUAAAGCUAAAUACCGGCCAGAGACCGAUAGCGCACAAGUAGAGUGAUCGAAAGAUGAAAAGCACUUUGAAAAGAGAGUUAAACAGCACGUGAAAUUGUUGAAAGGGAAGCGUUCAUGACCAGACUUGGCCCGGUUGAUCAUCCAGCGUUCUCGCUGGUGCACUCUGCCGGUCCAGGCCAGCAUCAGUUCGCCGCGGGGGAUAAAGGUUUCGGGAAUGUGGCUCCUCGGAGUGUUAUAGCCCGUUGCGCAAUACCCUGUGGUGGACUGAGGUCCGCGCUUCUGCAAGGAUGCUGGCGUAAUGGUCAUCAACGACCCGUCUUGAAACACGGACCAAGGAGUCGUCUUCGUAUGCGAGUGUUCGGGUGUAAAACCCCUACGCGUAAUGAAAGUGAACGGAGGUGGGAGCUUCGGCGCACCAUCGACCGAUCCUGAUGUUCUCGGAUGGAUUUGAGUAAGAGCAUACGGGGCCGGACCCGAAAGAAGGUGAACUAUGCCUGUAUAGGGUGAAGCCAGAGGAAACUCUGGUGGAGGCUCGCAGCGGUUCUGACGUGCAAAUCGAUCGUCAAAUAUGGGCAUGGGGGCGAAAGACUAAU
This 825-nucleotide ribosomal RNA is filed under the name Virgatospora echinofibrosa. RNAcentral's name for it is "eukaryotic LSU rRNA". It matches the Rfam family "Eukaryotic large subunit ribosomal RNA", at positions 74 to 935 of the family's 3401-position model. Lineage: Eukaryota; Fungi; Ascomycota; Sordariomycetes; Hypocreales; Stachybotryaceae. The record is from RNAcentral.